Molecule: transfer RNA, 65 nt
Filed under: Camelus bactrianus (Bactrian camel)
Lineage: Eukaryota; Metazoa; Chordata; Mammalia; Artiodactyla; Camelidae
Also listed under: 1 other name
Rfam family: tRNA
About the family: Transfer RNA (tRNA) molecules are approximately 80 nucleotides in length. Their secondary structure includes four short double-helical elements and three loops (D, anti-codon, and T loops). Further hydrogen bonds mediate the characteristic L-shaped molecular structure. tRNAs have two regions of fundamental functional importance: the anti-codon, which is responsible for specific mRNA codon recognition, and the 3' end, to which the tRNAs corresponding amino acid is attached (by aminoacyl-tRNA synthetases). tRNAs cope with the degeneracy of the genetic code in two manners: having more than one tRNA (with a specific anti-codon) for a particular amino acid; and 'wobble' base-pairing, i.e. permitting non-standard base-pairing at the 3rd anti-codon position.
Source: Rfam by way of RNAcentral
GAGGGUAUAGCUCAGUGGAAGAGCACGUGCCUAGCACGUCCUGGGUUCAAUCCCUAGUACCUCCA